Molecule: non-coding RNA, 46 nt
Filed under: Lentisphaera araneosa HTCC2155
Lineage: Bacteria; Pseudomonadati; Lentisphaerota; Lentisphaeria; Lentisphaerales; Lentisphaeraceae
Description: Acido-Lenti-1 RNA
Rfam family: Acido-Lenti-1 RNA
Source: Rfam by way of RNAcentral
CCUAGCUCUCACGAGCCAGGCUAGCGUAUGCCGUACCUUAGGUACU